GCUGGCACGUAGUUAGUAGUUCCUUAUUCUGGAUGCCUUCAUGGCUCCCAAAAAGUAGUUUACAACCCGAGGGCCGUCAUCCUACACGCGAUGUCGCUGCGUCAGACUUUCGUCCAUUGCGCAAUAUUCCCCA
RNAcentral lists this ribosomal RNA (133 nucleotides) under uncultured bacterium. RNAcentral describes it as "partial 16S ribosomal RNA". The record is from RNAcentral.